UUUAAGCAACGCCUUUCUUCCCUAUCAAUGUGUUAUAUGAAUAUAUGUUACUUGUGUGUUAUAUGAAAUAUCGUUUAUUCUUUUAGGGUGUGUGUUGUGCAAGACGUGUUCCCUAAUGCUGCUUCUUCUGCUUGGAAGUUGUUUAAUUUAAAAGAAAAGACUGAUCAUCCUUGUCCAGAGCAUUAUUCAUCGGACCAAGCAUUUAUAGUAAUUGAAACAGAAUUAGCUGGAACAGAUAUGGAUGAACUUAAGAUCAUAAGCUAUUUAAAAGCUCUUUCUAUAUUCCACCAAGUAGCAGCUGGGUUAGCUGUAGCUGAGGAGAAGCUCCAGUUUGAGCAUCGAGACCUUCAUCCCGGUAAUAUCUUAAUAAAAAAGUGUGG
Parasteatoda tepidariorum (common house spider) is the source of this 380-nucleotide long non-coding RNA. The record is from RefSeq and is a predicted model, not a curated record. Lineage: Eukaryota; Metazoa; Arthropoda; Arachnida; Araneae; Theridiidae.